GCCUGGGUGGCUCAGUCGGUUGAGCAUCUGACUUCAGCUCAGGUCACGAUCUCACAGUUUGUGGGUUCAAGCCCCAUAUCUAGCU
RNAcentral lists this transfer RNA (85 nucleotides) under Felis catus (domestic cat). It matches the Rfam family "tRNA". From Rfam's summary of the family: Transfer RNA (tRNA) molecules are approximately 80 nucleotides in length. The record is from Rfam by way of RNAcentral. Lineage: Eukaryota; Metazoa; Chordata; Mammalia; Carnivora; Felidae.